AGUGAACGCUGGCGGCGUGCUUAACACAUGCAAGUCGAACGGUAACAGGAACUAGCUUGCUAGUUUGCUGACGAGUGGCGCACGGGUGAGUAAUAUAUAGUUAAUGUACCCCAAAGACUGGGAUAGCCACUGGAAACGGUGAUUAAUACUAGAUACACCUCUUUAACAUGAGUUAGAGAGGGAAAUGUCUUUUCGCUUUGGGAUCAGACUAUAUCCUAUCAGUUAGUUGGUGAGGUAAUGGCUCACCAAGGCAAUGACGGGUAGCGGGUUUGAGAGGAUGAUCCGCCACACUGGUACUGAGACACGGACCAGACUCCUACGGGAGGCAGCAGUGAGGAAUAUUGCACAAUGGAGGAAACUCUGAUGCAGCAACGCCGCGUGGAGGAUGACGCAUUUCGGUGUGUAAACUCCUUUUAUGAGUCAAGAAAAUGACGGUAGCUCAUGAAUAAGCACCGGCUAACUCCGUGCCAGCAGCCG
RNAcentral lists this ribosomal RNA (477 nucleotides) under uncultured bacterium. RNAcentral's name for it is "bacterial SSU rRNA". It matches the Rfam family "Bacterial small subunit ribosomal RNA", at positions 29 to 517 of the family's 1533-position model. The record is from RNAcentral.